Molecule: ribosomal RNA, 379 nt
Filed under: uncultured bacterium
Lineage: Bacteria
Description: bacterial SSU rRNA
Rfam family: Bacterial small subunit ribosomal RNA
Source: RNAcentral
GAUGAACGCUGGCGGCGUGCUUAACACAUGCAAGUCGAACGGAAAGGCUCCUGCUUGCAGGGGUACUCGAGUGGCGAACGGGCGAGUAACACGUGGGUGAUCUGCCACGCACUUCGGGAUAAGCCUGGGAAACUGGGUCUAAUACCGGAUAGGACCACUUCUUGGAGGUUGUGGUGGAAAGUUUUUUCGUGUGUGAUGAGCUCGCGGCCUAUCAGCUUGUUGGUGGGGUAAGUGCCUACCAAGGCGUCGACGGGUAGCCGACCUGAGAGGGUGUACGGCCACAUUGGGACUGAGAUACGGCCCAGACUCCUACGGGAGGCAGCAGUGGGGAAUAUUGCACAAUGGGCGCAAGCCUGAUGCAGCGACGCCGCGUGGGGGA